Molecule: ribosomal RNA, 745 nt
Filed under: uncultured Bionectriaceae
Lineage: Eukaryota; Fungi; Ascomycota; Sordariomycetes; Hypocreales
Description: eukaryotic LSU rRNA
Rfam family: Eukaryotic large subunit ribosomal RNA (bases 331-745)
Source: RNAcentral
AAAACUUUCAACAACGGAUCUCUUGGUUCUGGCAUCGAUGAAGAACGCAGCGAAAUGCGAUAAGUAAUGUGAAUUGCAGAAUUCAGUGAAUCAUCGAAUCUUUGAACGCACAUUGCGCCCGCCAGUAUUCUGGCGGGCAUGCCUGUCUGAGCGUCAUUUCAACCCUCAUGCCCCUAGGGCGUGGUGUUGGGGAUCGGCCAAAGCCCGCAAGGGACGGCCGGCCCCUAAAUCUAGUGGCGGACCCGUCGUGGCCUCCUCUGCGAAGUAGUGAUAUUCCGCAUCGGAGAGCGACGAGCCCCUGCCGCUUAAACCCCGAAACUUUUACAAGGUUGACCUCAGAUCAGGCAGGAAUACCCGCUGAACUUAAGCAUAUCAAUAAGCGGAGGAAAAGAAACCAACAGGGAUUGCCCUAGUAACGGCGAAUGAAGCGGCAACAACUCAAAUUUGAAAUCUGGCGCAAGCCCGAGUUGUAAUUUGUAGAGGAUGUUUCUGGCGACGUGCCUUCCGAGUUCCCUGGAACGGGACGCCAUAGAGGGUGAGAGCCCCGUACGGUUGGAUGCCUAGCCUCUGUGAAACUCCUUCGACGAGUCGAGUAGUUUGGGAAUGCUGCUCUAAAUGGGAGGUAUACGUCUUCUAAAGCUAAAUACCGGCCAGAGACCGAUAGCGCACAAGUAGAGUGAUCGAAAGAUGAAAAGCACUUUGAAAAGAGGGUUAAAAAGUACGUGAAAUUGUUGAAAGGGAAGCG